CAUAUAUAUUGUGGAGAUGGAGAAGGUUUUCAUGUACACGCUUGAUACUUUGAUGGUGGUUAACAUGCAUGUAAAUUGUAAAUAUGUAGUUCACUUUAAAACCUAGACAAGCUGUCUGUACAGGCCUGAAGUUGGUCAUCGGCAAUGGAUACGGACAAGACCAUGGCAGUAGCUGAUAUAGGAUUCAACAGACUCUGCUGCCACGACAUUCAAAAACAGAAUUGCUCAAACAACUUCUGCCCUGUCAAAACUCAAGCCCAUAUGGAAGGACAAGAAGAUCAGUAUGACAUCAAAAGACACUGGGCCAAGUCCUUUCCUCCUUCUACAGCUGUGCGUCCUCAGUUCCUACAUUAAAGUAUGGUAGGGCUGCUGCUGUGCAGCGGAGGAGAAGACUCUCCACAGGGUGGUGAAGCUGCACAGAGGAUUAUUGGGAGCAGCCUCUUGGACAACUACAGUACCAGA
Molecule: long non-coding RNA, 462 nt
Organism: Synchiropus splendidus (mandarinfish)
Lineage: Eukaryota; Metazoa; Chordata; Actinopteri; Syngnathiformes; Callionymidae
Exons: 3
Source: RefSeq, a predicted model, not a curated record